RNAcentral lists this ribosomal RNA (443 nucleotides) under uncultured bacterium. Its description in RNAcentral is "partial 16S ribosomal RNA". It matches the Rfam family "Bacterial small subunit ribosomal RNA", at positions 338 to 795 of the family's 1533-position model. The record is from RNAcentral.
CCUACGGGAGGCAGCAGUGGGGAAUAUUGGACAAUGGGGGGAACCCUGAUCCAGCGACGCCGCGUGAGUGAAGAAGUAUUUCGGUAUGUAAAGCUCUAUCAGCAGGGAAGAAAGAAAUGACGGUACCUGACUAAGAAGCCCCGGCUAACUACGUGCCAGCAGCCGCGGUAAUACGUAGGGGGCAAGCGUUAUCCGGAUUUACUGGGUGUAAAGGGAGCGUAUACGGCGAUGCAAGUCUGAAGUGAAAGGCGGGGGCUCAACCCCUGGACUGCUUUGGAAACUGUAUGGCUGGAGUGCAGGAGAGGUAAGUGGAAUUCCUAGUGUAGCGGUGAAAUGCGUAGAUAUUAGGAGGAACACCAGUGGCGAAGGCGGCUUACUGGACUGUAACUGACGUUGAGGCUCGAAAGCGUGGGGAGCAAACAGGAUUAGAUACCCCAGUAGUC